This is a non-coding RNA of Equus caballus (horse), 2229 nucleotides long. Lineage: Eukaryota; Metazoa; Chordata; Mammalia; Perissodactyla; Equidae. The record is from RefSeq and is a predicted model, not a curated record.
GUCUGUGCCCAGGAUCCGAACCCGCGAACCCCAGGCCACUGAAGCAGAGCAAGCGAACUUAACUACUAUGCCACUGGGCCAGCCCCAUUGAAUGCCCAUUUUGAAGAUCAAAGUCCUUUGGGAUAAAGCAUAAAGCGGAGGCAUCAUGGUGGGAAGAUACUUCUCCUGGAUGCUAUGGAAAAUUAAUGAGGCGAAAUGGUAAACUCAUUAAGGCGAACCUAUGAAGAGUCUCUUAAGGAUAAAAAUGUAAAUUUUAUUGUUUUCCAGUUGCUAGUUUUACAGAAAAUCCACACAAGUUUUUACAGUCAGAACUAUCCCCAGGGAAAUGGUGGCCCUUGAGAAAUCACAUGGUGUGCACUUUUUCCUCUACUCCGGCAUCUUCGUGCAACUGAAAGGAUGUUCAGCUGAACAGUGAUGACUCUGGAAAAGGAAGAGAAAUCACAGAUGGGCCAAAUGAAGCUGAGGAGGUCUGGAAGGGAGGAAAAGGCAAUACAGACAGAGGCUACUGCCUGAGGGAAGAGCACCGUGUGAAAGGCUUGUUUGGGGAAUGCUGCCCAAUGAGGGCUCUGCUGGUUGUGAAGCAGAUGGCAGGGGUGGCUGGAGGUAAGUCUAGGAUGGCAUUCCUUCAUUCAGUAAUCAUUUGGAAAGUGCCUACUAUGUCUCAGGCCCUGUGCUAAAUGCUGCUGAUAUAAUGUUGAGCAGAAUCAGAUGUGUUCUUUAUUCUUAUGGGGUCUGCAGCUAAAGAAAAAACCAGGGUCAGAUUGAGGAGGUUCUUGACUGUCAUUCGCAUUUAGGGUUUCUCUAUAGACCUGAAAGCAUCUCAAGUCAGAAAGAUUUAUCUUUUGUCUCCUGCAACCUGCACUACUGCCACCCAUGAGUUUAAGUUAUUUCUUUUUCUACAUUGUGUUUAUUACUAUUUGGCCCUAUCUCUCUAAUGCUAAGGAAUAAUGUAUUUUUUUAAUUUAUUUUUUACUCCUUUCCACUCUUUAUUGUGAGUAAUAGUGAAGACAGGAAUGUGUUACUGAGGAAAUCUUUGCCAGAAGCUCACUUGUAGUUUGGUUGAUUGGAAUUCAAAGCCUAUUACCCACUUUUAAACUUUGCUAGCCAGCCCCUAGGAACAUAUUUAGCGCACAUGUACCUGCAAUAAAUACUGUAGAAUAUAACUACCACAUGGGAGAAUGUUUCUAUGGGAAAACUCACUCAAGAAAUUCUGAGAAAAUGAAAUUUGUGACUUAGGAGCAGGCCUUUCCUGGUGUAAUGAGAGAGGGGACUCUCCUUUUGAUCAUUUUCCACAACGUGUCAGGCCUGCUCUCUAGAGUGCAGAGCAGGAGGUAAGAUUAACUCUGAAGUUUGGAUGUAGGAGGAGUGAAGGACGGAAGGGGGUACAUAAGGCAGAGGAGGAGGGGCAGAACAGGCUUGGUGGCGGUGGGGAGUACAGUGGGAGACUUUGGACAACCAGAAGACAGUGGGGACUUGAAGCAUGACAGAAGUACGGAUCAAGAAAUUGGGAAGAGAGGUAGAAACUAGAAGGACGUGGGACAACUUGGUCUUAUUUCCCACCCCGGCAGUACUAAUAUUCUGCCCUGCUACUGAAAGCCCUCUUGGAACCACAGCAACUGGGUAACAGGAGCGUAAAAGGACAUAGGAAUAACAGUCUGCAGGCUGGUGGCAAGCCCCAGUUCUCCCAUUUACCAGUUUUCUGGCCUUGGGUAAGUUACUUCAUUUCUCUGAGCUCUGGCUCCCUUAUCUAAAAAUUGGGUGACACUAGUGGUCCCAGACUUAUACAGUUAUUUUAAGGAAUAAAUGAGGCUGUCUUUGUGGAAUAUAGAAUGUAAGCACCAGGAAAGUAGAGAAUUUGUCCUGUUCACUGCUGAAUUCUCAGAGCUUCAAGUAGUUCCUGGCACUCUGCAGGAGCUAAAUAAAUAUAUAUAUAUAAAAUUAUUGAGUAGAUAGGAAGAGAUUUGUAAGUGGAGUGGCAUUUUAAAAUGCCUAAUCUAUGGGCUGUUUGCCACUGAUUAAGCCCCUCUAAUGGUUACAAGAAGUGAAGAUUCUAGAAGAGUGAAGUUGUCUGAAUUCCAGUCCCAACUCUGGCCCUCACCAUCUCUGCAACCAUGGGAAAAUUCGGCCUCAGUUUCUUCUUCCAUGAAAUUUGGGUUAUUAUAGUGUCCACUUCCUGGAGUGUUGUGAAGACCAGAUGAGAUAAUGCAAAGCAUUUUGUGCCUAGCACAC